AGCCCUUGACAUCCCGGUCGCGGUUACCAGAGAUGGUUUCCUUCAGUUCGGCUGGACCGGUGACAGGUGCUGCAUGGCUGUCGUCAGCUCGUGUCGUGAGAUGUUGGGUUAAGUCCCGCAACGAGCGCAACCCUCACCUUCAGUUGCCAUCAGUACGGCUGGGCACUCUGGAGGAACUGCCGGUGAUAAGCCGGAGGAAGGCGAGGAUGACGUCAAGUCCUCAUGGCCCCUACGGGCUGGGCUACACACGUGCUACAAUGGUGAAUACAGUGGGACGCAAAUGGGCAACCUGGAGCCAAUCCCCAAAAUUCAUCUCAGUUCGGAUUGUCCUCUGCAACUCGAGGGCAUGAAGU
This 353-nucleotide ribosomal RNA is filed under the name uncultured bacterium. RNAcentral describes it as "bacterial SSU rRNA". It matches the Rfam family "Bacterial small subunit ribosomal RNA", at positions 976 to 1326 of the family's 1533-position model. The record is from RNAcentral.